GUGAGGAAUCUUCCACAAUGGGCGAAAGCCUGAUGGAGCAACGCCGCGUGAAGGAUGAAGGUCUUCGGAUUGUAAACUUCUUUUAUGAGUGAAGAAUAUGACGGUAACUCAUGAAUAAGCACCGGCUAACUACGUGCCAGCAGCCGCGGUCAUACGUAGGGUGCAAGCAUUAUCCGGAGUGACUGGGCGUAAAGAGUUGCGUAGGCGGUUAUGUAAGCGAAUAGUGAAACCUGGUGGCUCAACCACACAGACUAUUAUUCGAACUGCAUAACUCGAGAAUGGUAGAGGUAACUGGAAUUUCUUGUGUAGGAGUGAAAUCCGUAGAUAUAAGAAGGAACACCAAUGGCGUAGGCAGGUUACUGGGCCAUUUCUGACGCUAAGGCACGAAAGCGUGGGGAACAAACAGGAUUAGAAACCCGAGUAGUCC
RNAcentral lists this ribosomal RNA (427 nucleotides) under uncultured bacterium. RNAcentral describes it as "partial 16S ribosomal RNA". It matches the Rfam family "Bacterial small subunit ribosomal RNA", at positions 354 to 796 of the family's 1533-position model. The record is from RNAcentral.